UUCCGGUUGAUCCCGCCGGACCCCACUGCUAUCGAGAUGGGACUAAGGUAUGCUAGUCGAACGACCAGAACUAUGUCUGGAAGUGGCACACUGCUCAGUAACACGUAGCUAACCUACCCUUAGGACGUGGAUACCCCCGAGAAAUUGGGGUUAAUCCGCGAUAGGUGUAAUGUCCUGGAAUGGUAUUACGCCUAAAGGUGUAUCAUACAUGUUUGAUAUACGCCUAAGGAUGGGGCUGCGGCCGAUCAGGCUGUUGGUGAGGUAAUGGCUCACCAAACCUUUGACCGGUACGGGCCAUGAGAGUGGUAGCCCGGAGAUGGACACUGAGACAAGGGUCCAGGCCCUAAGGGGCGCAGCAACCGCGAAACCUCCACAAUGCACUCACGUGCGAUGGGGCUAUCUCGAGUGCCACCUGAUGAAGGUGGCUUUUCCUAGGUCUUCAAAGCCUUGGGAAUAAGAGGGGGGCAAGACUGGUGUCAGCCGCCGCGGUAACGCCAGCCCCUCGAGUGGUGGGGAUGAUUAUUUGGCCUAAAGCGUCCGUAGCCGGCCGAGCAAGUCUUCCGUUAAAUCCAGCGUCUCAAGCGUUGGACUGCGGGAGAUACUACACGGCUAGAGAGUGGGAGAGGUCAGCGGUAUUCUGGGGGUAGGGGCGAAAUCCUUUGAUCCCCGGAGGACCACCAGU
This 682-nucleotide ribosomal RNA is filed under the name uncultured archaeon. RNAcentral describes it as "bacterial SSU rRNA". It matches the Rfam family "Archaeal small subunit ribosomal RNA", at positions 1 to 664 of the family's 1478-position model. The record is from RNAcentral.